UACGGAGGGUGCAAGCGUUAUCCGGAUUCACUGGGUUUAAAGGGUGCGUAGGAGGGCAGGGAAGUCCGUGGUGAAAUCUCCGAGCUUAACUCGGAAACUGCCGUGGAUACUCUCUGUCUUGAAUCCCGUUGAGAUGAGCGGAAUAUGUCAUGUAGCGGUGAAAUGCUUAGAUAUGACAUAGAACACCAAUUGCGAAGGCAGCUCGUUACACGAAGAUUGACUCUGAGGCACGAAAGCGUGGGGAUCAAACAGG
RNAcentral lists this ribosomal RNA (253 nucleotides) under uncultured bacterium. Its description in RNAcentral is "partial 16S ribosomal RNA". It matches the Rfam family "Bacterial small subunit ribosomal RNA", at positions 524 to 776 of the family's 1533-position model. The record is from RNAcentral.